UCUGGGUUUCCCAAGCUGAUGCCUCGGGACUUUGUGCAGGGGAGAGCGGCUUGGUGGGGAGGGUGGGGGGCCCUCUCUGGGCAGUGGCCUCCCCACACUUAUCCAGUGCUCAGUGCAAGGUUCCGGGGGGGAAGAUGCUAGAAGGUGUCAUUUGUCACCAGGGACCAGUCAGAAGAGAUGGCUCACGUUCCGGUAAGCUUUGAGCCAGGUGAGCGAAGGCUGGAGAAAUGCCAGUGGACAGAAGAGCAGGGUGGCUAGCAAGGACAUGGGGAUAUCUGGGAAGAGGAGGGACCUGGGGAAGAUAGGGAAGCCUGAUGAAGUGAAGGACGCGUCCUGGCUGGGAGCGGGACCGUGCACAGAGAGGAGGUGGACCAACCUGCCUGGAGUGAGUGCCCCACACGGAAGGAAGGCGGCAUUAGCUAGAUGCCAAGAUCCAGUCACCCAGAAGGGGAGAGGAAGUGGGUAGUGGUGUGGUUCUGAGAGGUUACACUGAAGCCAGUGUGAGGAAGAGCCACUGAGUGGACUGAAGAUGUGCUCGACCUCCAGCCUGAGCUCCUCCGAGCACCCAAAAUCCCAGAGGUUAGGGUCUACAGGGGCCAGUCUCCAGCUCAAUAAUUCCCCUCUAUUUUUACCGCUAGACAACUGAGGGCCCCGUGCCUCCACUGUGGAAAAAAGAGCCUCCGCCAAGCACCACUUCCUUCCCUCCUGCUUGUGGUCCAGGGUGACGCUUAGGUGUCUGUCUCAAGGUUGAGAUGCAACAUGUCUUUGCCUUAGGGAGUGCCUGAUGGCCCCCAAGGGUGUGAGUUUGAGAAAAGAGGCAAUGUUGUCACAGAAUAUGUCCAGCAGGUGGCUGCGGUUUGCUGAGUGUCAGCUGCUAUUACAGACAUGACAUGUGUCAUGACCACCCGGAGGAGGUGAAAACCCAAAACACAGAAAGAGGGUUCUCAUCUUAAAAUCCUUAACACAACCAGUGGCCCUGAAAUUCUCAAGAGGGCGAGAGAGUCCCUCCCACCAGGGCUCAAUGCAAACUGCCACUAUCCACCUAGGCAAUUAGGACACCGGGCAGCUGGGGUCCCAGGUCGCCUCUACAUUCACGGAGCAGACUCUAAAAAUCUCCCAAAUACGAUGUCUUCUUUCUAAGACACACUCAUACCCACAGCACCCAGACCACAGCACUCUUUUCCUGAACAGCACCAUGCUGUGUUUCUCACCGAUCUCCUCUCUGGUCCCUGGAAUCUUCUCCAGCUAUAUCCAGAAGAGAUAGCCCCUCACAUCUCAUGGCUCUCUCUGCUGUCAGACUUCCAAAGCCUUCGCCAGUCCUAAGAUAAAGGCCAGACCCUUUGUUCGGCAUCCUCCUGCCUCCACAGCCCUCCAGCCUAGCUCCCUGCAGGCACCAUGCUCUUCCAGCCUCAGGACCUCUGCAAGGCUCCUCCCUAUGCUCUGGGGGAUCUACCUUCUUUCUUCUAGCCAGUUCUGGCUGCCUUCUGAUGCCGUCUCGUGUGAUUUUGAGAUCAGCAGCAUCUUCCAUAGGAAGUGGGGACCUGGAAGGGCUUUUUAAGCUCCUGUGUCCUCAGUCCCCAUAGUGGACACAUAGUAGGCCCUCACAAAUACUAAAUAAACAAAUGAAUGGGAGUCAAUGAAGGAUUCAUCCGUGGAGACUCUGAGGGUUCAGGUGUUUCCCAGAACAAUCAAUCAUUCCAGGGGAAAACUCUGAGUCUACCCUGAAGGUCUCCGGGCUCCACACUGGGACAGGGAUGGGGAAGAAGAGAGAUCUUCCUGGCUUCCUAAUCUUAAAAGAUGUUGAAAAUAGAAGUAGUCAUCAGAGCUAACACUUGACAAGCCUUCCUCCAUCUCUUAACAGGUCAGGCAGCUCAGACCAGAACCUACAGCUGGCAAACAUCCACGCCCAGAACGGAGGACAUCCCCCCAGAGCAGCUGGGCCAUGAGGUUGAAGAAGCAGAGACCGGAAGUUCCCUGAAUAGCUAACCUAGCCCAAUCAGCAAGCACCAGUGAGAGAUUCUACCUCGAAAAUCAAGGUGAACGGCUCUUCAUGCACGACACCAGAGGUUGACUUCUGGCCUCCAAGUGGCCACACAGGAGCACAUAUACACACAACUAAAAAUUUCAAAACACGAUCGCAAAACAAAACACCAUGUAUUUGGCAACACCGAAAUAACGCCUUAAAAAUCGUUGUUCACAGGGCUGGAGAGAUGGCUCAGAGGUUAAGAGCACUGACUGCUCUUCCAGAGGUCCUGAGUUCAAUUCCCAGCAACCACAUGGUGGCUCGAAACCAUCUGUAAUAAGAUCUGGUGCCCUCUUCUGGCCUGCAGUCAUACAUGCUGUAUACAUAAUAAAUAAAUAAAUCUUUAAAAAAAAAAAAUCGUUGUUCACACUUUGCAAGCCAGAACAAAAAAGUCCACUUGUCUUGAUUUGCAGUGUAGAGGCCGAACCCAGGGCCUCAUGAAUGCUGGGCGAGUGUUCAUACCAGAAGCUGUAGCCUCAGUCCUUGACCCAAAGUAUUGUUUUCUUUUGUUUUGCUUGAGGUAGGGUCUUACGUAGCCCAGGCUAGCCUUGAACUCCUUAUUUGGCCAAGGAUGACUUUUUGAACUUCUGAUCCUGCUUCCAUCUCCCAAAUACUGGGAUUAUAGGAGUGUACCACCACCAUGGUCAUUUUAUGAGGUGCGUGACGUGGAACCCAGAGCUUUGUGGAGAUGAGACUAGAAAAUGUCACCUGCUGUCGAGAAAGGACAGAGGCCAGGCACGGCGCCAGACACAUUUAAUGUCAGUGUUUGGGGAUCAGAGGCAGGCUGGUCUCUGUGAGUUCAAGGCCAGGAACUUGCUCUAGAGACUAGGCUGGCCAGGGCCACAGAGUGAGAUCUUGUCAAAAAUAAAUAGAUAGAUAGAUAGAUAGAUAGAUAGAUAGAUAGAUAGAUAGAUAGAUUUUUAAAAGAAGAAAAGAGAGAGAAUGGGGGCCAGAAAACGGGGUCCCACUAGCCGUCAGUCCAGAAGCUCUGUGAGAACCAGGGAGCAGAAGCCAUCAGCUGGAAUGACACUGGGGUCUCGGUAUCGCCUUCAGUCUUAGAAACUGAAAGCCCUGAAUGACUGAGAGGUGGUAACCAUUCAAGGGGCAACCACUCGGGGGCAGUCUGGCUGGAGGUGACAUUCGGUCAUUUCCAGGAUGAACUGCCCUGUCAAGCUGAGUCACACAGAUACCUGGAAAUUUUUGCUUUCAAAUUUGGUUAGCGCUUUCACAAACCUCAUCUCAAACGUCAGAGGUCCCAAGCUGUCAUCUGUGAGUGCUUUAAGAAGCAAGCACCUCUACCCAACAUCCCGCCAUUUUAGAGGACAGGAAUGUUUAGUGAGCACCUACUAUGUGCCUGGCACCUUGUAAAGUACUGUCCCCAGUAGACAUUAGUCCUUCCCACUCUGCUUCCUGUUUACACAGUAGGAACACGGUUCUAAUGACUUGAAUGUUCACCUGCUUGGGACCUAGCAAGAGGCAGAUAGCCUUAUUUUUUGUAUAUGAUACAAACAUUUUUCCCACAAGGAAAAGUCCUGCUGGGCAUGAGGAGGCUGCGUACCAGUCAAAGCUGCUUCUAAGCAGUUAGGUAGUGUUGGGCUGUCCUUCCAGCCUCUGCAUCCCAGCUUCACUGGGGACACCAGGGGGUGAGUAAGGCCACCUCUACAGUGGUGAGGUCAUGCUCUCGGUCAUGCUCAUUCUCAUCAUGUCAUCUGAGUCACGAUGCAGUGUCCGGGCCUUCCUUCCGCCUGGGGUGCCUUUUCCCAUGGCUAGGGUCCUCUUUCAUAGGCUUCACUUCCUAGGAAGUCCUCCCAGGAACAGACCACCCCCACUCCCCCCACAGCAUGCCAUUCCAUGCUCCUCCAAAACCGCUAGCUCGAGCGUCUUGUACUGAUUUUUUUUUUCUUUCUUUCCUACGAGUAUGGGUGUUUUGUCUGCGUGUGCGUCUGCACACCACAUGUGAUGUCUGCUCAGGGUAGAAGAGGGCAUUGGAUCUCCUGAGACUAGAAUUACAGUCAUUUGUAAGCCACCAUGUGGGUGCUGGGACUCGAACCUGAGUCCUCUGGAAAACCAACUAGUGCUCUUAACACCUGAGCCAUCACUCCAGUCCCUCCUUGUACUAAACGCAAACCACGGUCUCAUUUCACCUCUGUGUCCUACGCUUGAGGCUGAACCCUGACAGAGGCUUUCCGAACGUUUAGUGUGUCUGGGCGAUUGCUACAUUGUUUCUUAAGCCCAAGGACGAUUGCUACAUUGUUUCUUAAGCCCACGGAACGUUAAGAGAUUCCUAUUACAGUCUGGAGAGACAUACACUUCUUGUUGAAGCCUUCUUGGUUUGACUGUUUUUGAGACAGUGUGUCUCCCAGCGUGGUGGUCGGGGUCGGUGGUGAGUUUAAGAUCUUGCUAGCUCAGCCUAGGAUUUCAGACUUGUAGAACACACCUAGCUUAAAGAACUUCUUGUACUUUUCUUCCCUCUUCCCUUCUUUUCUAGGCUGGCUUGUAGACUCCUGGGCAUCAGAGAUCCUCCUGCCUCAGCUUCCUGGGAAGCGGGAACUACAGGCAGAGCCCCACACCCACCUCUCUCACACGUUUCUGUUCUGUUUUAUUGCUGUCGUUGCAUCGAUAUAUGCUUCUUUUUUUUUUUUUGUUUUGUUUUGUUUUGUUUUGUUUUUUCGAGACAGGGUUUCUCUGUGUAGCUUUGCGCCUUUCCUGGAACUCACUUGGUAGCCCAGGCUGGCCUCGAACUCACAGAGAUCCGCCUGGCUCUGCCUCCCAAGUGCUGGGAUUAAAGGCGUGCGCCACCACCGCCCGGCCGAUAUAUGCUUCUUUAAUCCAUUUUUUUGUAACCUUUAGCCAUGCAGAAAGAACCCAGAGCUUUGCACACACUAGGCAAGCCCUGUGUGUCCCCAGGCCGCUCCCUCUCUUAUACAUUAUCUUUAUUAUGAUUUCACAGUUCUUUAUGUUUGGGAGGGGUGUCAGAGUACAUCCCUAGAGGGCAGCUUGUGGAAGUCAGUUCUCUCCUUUCCCACUGUGGGUCCUGGAGACUGAACUCAGGUUUUCAGUCUUAGCAGCAAGCUCCUUUGCUCACUGAGCCAUCUCACCACCCCAUCUCCUAUACAUUUCUUCAGGACAAAGCCUGUUCUUUGCUCACAUUUAAUUUCAUCGGGUCUUGGCACACAAGAGGUUCUCGGCAAACAUGUAUCACAUCAGACAAUAUUGAGGUCUCCCACCACCCCACCUCAGCUGACCUCCUCACUGAGAGAGCAGGCUCUCCAGGGGGCUGGGGAACUCCCAGAGAGUUAGAACUCACUGCCACAUGGGUGUGGAAAUUAAUUAGAUUAGGACAGACAACAUCUCCAUGUGUGCUAGGGUGGGGCCCUGCAGGCCGGGCCUGUAGCAGGGCUACCCAACAGUAUGUCCGAGAAAGCCACCAUCAUCACUGCUGGUGGCCCCAGACUUGAGGACAAAAGGUCCCCAGGAGAGAAGUGUGCUAUGACUUAAAUGCAAAGUGUCCUUUGCAGGUUCCCAUGUUUGAACAUUUGGUCCCCAGCUGGUGACAUUGUUUGGGGAAGUUAUAGAACCUUUAAGGAGUUGGAGUCUGGGUGCAGAAAGAGGAUCCCUAGGGGGCUAACAAUGAGGUCUGUAGCCCUGCUCGCUGCCUGUCAUGUCCCCAAAGAUGUGAGUGAGGAACCUCAACUUCCUGUUACCUCAGCCUGGAGCUUUGUCCUCCUCCAGACCUUCCCUGAUAAUGAUGAACACGGUCCUCGAACUAUGAGCCAGUAAAGCCUUCCUCCUGGGGGUCACUUCUUAGUAGGCAUUUGUCAUAGCAACAAGAACACUAAUCCACAGCAGUAUAACAAUGACAAUAUUUGUUGGGGGUAAAGGCUGUCACUGGGAGCAGCUGGGAGACAGAGGCAGGAGAAGUGAUAGUUCAGGCUAUACUGGGCUUUUAACAAGAGACUAUCUCAAAAAAAAAAAAAAGAGGGAAGGAAGAAAGAAAGUAAAUGUAUUAUUUAUUCAUCAUUUGUUUGUUU
Molecule: long non-coding RNA, 6054 nt
Organism: Peromyscus californicus insignis
Lineage: Eukaryota; Metazoa; Chordata; Mammalia; Rodentia; Cricetidae
Exons: 3
Source: RefSeq, a predicted model, not a curated record